RNAcentral lists this ribosomal RNA (377 nucleotides) under uncultured Bacteriovoracaceae bacterium. Its description in RNAcentral is "bacterial SSU rRNA". It matches the Rfam family "Bacterial small subunit ribosomal RNA", at positions 523 to 898 of the family's 1533-position model. The record is from RNAcentral. Lineage: Bacteria; Pseudomonadati; Bdellovibrionota; Bacteriovoracia; Bacteriovoracales; Bacteriovoracaceae.
AUACGAAGGGUGCAAGCGUUGUUCGGAUUUAUUGGGCGUAAAGCGCGCGCAGGCGGAUUGGUAAGUCAGGUGUGAAAUCUCGGGGCUUAACCCCGAAAUUGCGCCUGAAACUGUCGAUCUAGAAUCCUGGAGAGGGAAGGGGAAUUUCUCAUGUAGGGGUAAAAUCCGUAGAUAUGAGAAGGAACACCGGAGGCGAAGGCGCCUUCCUGGACAGGUAUUGACGCUGAGGCGCGAAAGCGUGGGGAGCAAACAGGAUUAGAUACCCUGGUAGUCCACGCCGUAAACGAUGAGAACUAGUUGUGGCAGGUAUUAACCCCUGCUGUGACGUAGCAAACGCGUUAAGUUCUCCGCCUGGGGAGUACGGUCGCAAGACUAAA